This 284-nucleotide long non-coding RNA is filed under the name Gossypium raimondii (Peruvian cotton). Its description in RNAcentral is "long non-coding RNA (GRAI_LNC005390)". The record is from RNAcentral. Lineage: Eukaryota; Viridiplantae; Streptophyta; Magnoliopsida; Malvales; Malvaceae.
GGGGAGUGAGAUAUGAAAGUUCAAUGUGAGUUCCUUUACAAUAAACCAAGACAUACAAUUAUACUUUUAAACAUUAAAUAACACCAUACAACAUUAUCAAGACUCAAUUGGUUAUAAAUAUCUGUCAAUUUCAAAUACGAUAAUUCAGUGUUGUUACUUUAGUUAAGCAAUAAUAAUAUUCUCAAAUAUGGACAAUCAACUAAAUCAAUUUUAGGGUUAUUCAUACUGUUCACGAAAGAUAUAUGCACAUAAAUCAGUUGAAUCAUUUCAUCAAGUAAAUUCAG